CUAUGGUCGGCACGUCUGGUAGCAUCUCUGGCUGCUGUUGACCUUGUUUUUGGAGUAAAACACGGUGGAAGCUGAAUUAGUAAGGAUGACUCCUGCUCCUGUCAUCUCUAAGCUCCUCACACAUCUUUACCUGCACAUGAGGAAAAUCACUCCUGUAGAAUGCAGAUGUUCAGAGGGAGAUGAUGCCACAUCUGGUCCAGCUGAUGGAAGGUCUUGAAGUUCUCUGACUGGCCUCGACUGAAGAUGGUCGUCUCACUGGAUUUAAGAUGCACAAUGAGGGACGUCUGCAGUGACUGAGAAAGAGUCUCACCACAUCCUGACAUGAGGAAAAAGACUUUAUUGAAGACUACAAUGAGAAAAACUAUCAGACAGCAGACGGCAUGCAUUCAAGUUGAGCUCUGAACAUUUGAUCUGGAACAGGAAUUCAAUAACAGCAGCAUGAGCUUCAUUUCAGUCUGUAGCUGCUGAAUUCAUGGAUGAAUCAUCUGGCACUAGAGAGGAAGACCAUCAAACAUCCACGUCAGCUGAUGGAGGUCCAAGAGUCUCACCGAACAACCAACCUACAAAGUGAAGACCUCAAAUCUGAUUGGACGGCCUCCUAUUCAGCCACAUGUGUGAACAAAUGCCUCUGAGUUGAUUUGUUUUCUAAAAUAAAUCUAGUUUGAGUC
Molecule: long non-coding RNA, 668 nt
Organism: Amphiprion ocellaris (clown anemonefish)
Lineage: Eukaryota; Metazoa; Chordata; Actinopteri; Pomacentridae
Source: Ensembl